GGUCCGUGGUGAGUCCUGGCAUGUAUUAUCUCGAGUAUAAAUUUGAAGAUUAUCAGUUUAGCUCUAAAAUUACUCAGAGACCUG
This 84-nucleotide small nucleolar RNA is filed under the name Tauraco erythrolophus (red-crested turaco). RNAcentral's name for it is "Small nucleolar RNA SNORD45". It matches the Rfam family "Small nucleolar RNA SNORD45". Rfam says of the family: U45 belongs to the C/D class of snoRNA which contain the C (UGAUGA) and D (CUGA) box motifs. Most of the members of the box C/D family function in directing site-specific 2'-O-methylation of substrate RNAs. Lineage: Eukaryota; Metazoa; Chordata; Aves; Musophagiformes; Musophagidae. The record is from Rfam by way of RNAcentral.